Molecule: long non-coding RNA, 375 nt
Filed under: Oryza sativa (Asian cultivated rice)
Lineage: Eukaryota; Viridiplantae; Streptophyta; Magnoliopsida; Poales; Poaceae
Description: long non-coding RNA (OSAT_LNC001615)
Source: RNAcentral
CUCCUCUCUAGAUUUAUGACUGGCCCAGCCAUAACCCAGCUUGUUCAGUCCUUCUCUGUUGUCUUCCUCUACUGGUUCUAUGUCUUCUCAGUAAGCUCCCUGUAGUUGUAGCCUUUUGAAAUUACAAGACUUAUUUAUACAACAUAAUUAUCAAGGCAUCCACAUAUAAACUACAAGGUAUAUAUAUAUAUAUAUAUAUAUAUUUACAAAAAGAAAAGGAAUAAGAGGGAGUAAAAUUGUUGCCGGUGCGAAAAAAAAAAUUGUUGAGAGGUGACCAUGUCGAGUGGGACCUCGUCCGGGUCGAGCCAGGGAACCCGGAGCUCCAGGUCGGAAGAUGACCUGAACCUCCAGGCCCAGAUGGAGAAGAAGAGGAAG